GCUAAACGCGAAGAACCUUACCAGGGCUUGACAUCCUUGGAAUUUCUGCGAAAGCAGAGAGUACUUUAUUGGACCAAGUGACAGGUGUUGCAUGGCCGUCGUCAGCUCGUGUCGUGAGAUGUUUGGUUAAGUCCAUCAACGAGCGCAACCCUUAUAGUUAGUUGAAUUUUUCUAGCUAGACUGCCCUGGCAACAGGGAGGAAGGAGGGGAUGAUGUCAGGUCAGUAUUACCCUUACGUCUGGGGCUACAAACACGCUACAAUGGCCGGUACAAAGGGCAGCCAACCCGCGAGGGGGAGCUAAUCCCAUCAAAGCCGGUCUCAGUUCGGAUUGCAGGCUGAAACUCGCCUGCAUGAAGCCGGAAUCGCUAGUAACGGUAAGUCAGUACAUUACCGUGAAUACGUUCCCGGGUCUUGUACACACCG
RNAcentral lists this ribosomal RNA (424 nucleotides) under uncultured bacterium. Its description in RNAcentral is "bacterial SSU rRNA". It matches the Rfam family "Bacterial small subunit ribosomal RNA", at positions 954 to 1392 of the family's 1533-position model. The record is from RNAcentral.